GGAGAACUGAGGGCGCCACCGGAGCUCCGGUAUCAGGAUCCGGAGGAUUUAAACACUUAGUGUUCGUCAACGGUUAAGUUCCGGAGUGGGGCGGGCCUUGCGCGCACGCAGUGAAAAGCCCAGCCGGGCGGCCGGGAGGACGUCAGAGGCGGCCGGAAGCGCUCGCUUCCGUGGUCGUUGCUCGGCGACUAGAAGCGGACUAAAUUUGAAAGGACAAAAGAGGGGAAGGAGAUCCAAGUGACAAACCUCAAUGGCUGCCAUGGGUUACAUUUAGUGCAGAGGCCCUGGGGUGUAAGCUUCCUCACAUCUUCGAGCAAGGAGGACACUGUGGAAUUGCCAUGGCUGUUGGCCUCUACAGAGAAAAGCUACCAGUCUUAUUUUCUUAUUUUUCAAAUUUGCAAGAGCUUUAAUUUGCUUCACAGAGAACCAUUUCCAGUGUGCCAUACUUUAAAAAAAUGUAUGAAUUUGUUGCACAAACAAUGCUACAACAAGAAAAAUAUUGUAAAGGGAAAAAUUCAUCCAAAAUUCUACAGCCUAACAUGUCAAUUGUUUUCAUUUUUCCUUGUGCCCUUUCACUCCCUGUCCACAUGACAUGGUCUUUAUGAUUAGACCUGGUAAAUGUUCAGUGUUAUAAACCCUGCUGUGCCUGCUAAUAGGCUGGCUGUGGGAAUUAAAGAGCUAUUGUUAUCACCAGGAACAGGGAAGUUGGAAUCAGUUAUCAGUUCUGUUAUUUAUUUACUAAAUUUCUCCAAACACCCAACUUUCCCUUUCUCUAUUUAUACUCCUGAGCUAAGCUGGACUACUGCUUUUUAAAAACAACUACAGCUUCACUUUUAAGGAACAUAUUUUUAAGGGGCAUUGCCAGUCUGUCAGUUUAUGCAAAAUUCCUUUGAGAUGAACCUCUUGGGAGAAGUAACAACAAUGUGUGUCAUCACGUUGAUUUACUUUAUUUUUUUGAAGCUUGGCUUGUUUGGAAUGAAGACAAGAAUGAUCAAAUAACAAACACUGGUAAAUUCUCUGAAAGUAUUUGCUAAUCUGAGUUAAUGUACCAUCAUCCUGAUUUGCGUUCAAGAAAACCAUAGGUAUAACCAACCUACCUACACUUGCAAAGUUAAUAAGCAAAGACACUCUAAGACCUGCC
This 1141-nucleotide long non-coding RNA is filed under the name Equus caballus (horse). RNAcentral describes it as "lncRNA (ENSECAG00000058257.1)". Lineage: Eukaryota; Metazoa; Chordata; Mammalia; Perissodactyla; Equidae. The record is from RNAcentral.